RNAcentral lists this transfer RNA (96 nucleotides) under Nannocystis pusilla. RNAcentral describes it as "tRNA-Sec". It matches the Rfam family "Selenocysteine transfer RNA". RNAcentral also lists the same sequence under 3 other names. Lineage: Bacteria; Pseudomonadati; Myxococcota; Nannocystales; Nannocystaceae. The record is from RNAcentral.
GGAGGCGCUCGGCUCGCUGGUGCGGCCCCCGGUCUUCAACACCGGAGUGGGGUGCGAGGAGCGCCCUGGGCAGGUUCGAUUCCUGUGCGCCUCCGA